GACGAACGCUGGCGGCGUGCUUAACACAUGCAAGUCGAGCGGUAAGGCCCUUUCGGGGGUACGACGAGCGGCGAACGGGUGGAGUAACACGUGGGUGGACCUCGCCCUCCAGCUCUGGGAGUGAGCCUGGGAAACCGGGUACUAAUACUGGAUAUGACUCCAUGACGCAUGUUGUGGGGUGGAAAGCCUUGUGCGGCUGAGGAUGGGCCC
RNAcentral lists this ribosomal RNA (210 nucleotides) under uncultured bacterium. RNAcentral describes it as "partial 16S ribosomal RNA". It matches the Rfam family "Bacterial small subunit ribosomal RNA", at positions 28 to 232 of the family's 1533-position model. The record is from RNAcentral.